Molecule: ribosomal RNA, 226 nt
Filed under: Clostridioides difficile
Lineage: Bacteria; Bacillati; Bacillota; Clostridia; Peptostreptococcales; Peptostreptococcaceae
Description: partial 16S ribosomal RNA
Rfam family: Bacterial small subunit ribosomal RNA
Source: RNAcentral
GGAGGAAGGUGGGGAUGACGUCAAAUCAUCAUGCCCCUUAUGCUUAGGGCUACACACGUGCUACAAUGGGUAGUACAGAGGGUUGCCAAGCCGUAAGGCGGAGCUAAUCCCUUAAAGCUACUCUCAGUUCGGAUUGUAGGCUGAAACUCGCCUACAUGAAGCUGGAGUUACUAGUAAUCGCAGAUCAGAAUGCUGCGGUGAAUGCGUUCCCGGGUCUUGUACACAC